UGAAGGAUGUGUGUGAGCAGUCAGUCAGCAGGAGCAGCUAAAUGCUAAUGCUAACACUACACUGACCAGAGGAGGACCAGAGCAGUCUCUACAGCUACUCUUCAGACCAACCACACUUUCCAGCGGACUGUCCUAAUGAUGCUUCUCCCGUGUCUCAGCAAAGUGCCAGUCCCUUGGCUCCAGCACCAGUUGGCCUUGGAUGGACAAGUUACACCUAAAUGACCACUGAUGACCAAUUAUUUCUCUGAAUGCUACUGAUUUCCGUUUAAAAGAAGGAAGGACUGCUGAAGGACUGCUGGUCUCAAGAUUUACGUCUGCAGUGACGCUCCACCUCCCAGGAUGGGCACGGGCCUUUCUGGCUUCUAGAAGAGGAUACCCUUAGCAGAGUCUGGGAUCCUCUAGGAAUUACGAUAAGUGAACACUUUAUAAAACACUUGUUUAGUCUUUAGUUUAUAAUAACUCUCUAAAGUGUCUUUAAAGUGUCUUUAGAGAAGUGGGGAUGUGACAGGUCUCUAAGGCAGUUCAAAGAACACAAGCUUGGUUCCAGAUGCUUCCAGCCAUUACACCCACCACCAUUGCUCACAUCCACCAGCCGCUGCACACCUGAUUUAACUUAAAGAAUCAUUAAUAUACAAAUACUACACAUAAUAAAAUGCUGACACAUGGAAACUGACAUGCAUUAAAUCCCUUUUUUGUGCUCAACCCACUUUUUAAAUACAUACAUUUGGGGUUACCUUGCACAAUUAUAAAAAAUAAUAAAAAUAAAUAAAACAAAAUAGAAAAUUUAAACAAAUGAAGGAACCACUGAUCAAAGUAAUGUCUUGGUAGUAAAUAUAUAUUUUUUUAGCAUUUGGCAUUUUAAACACUUGCUGUUAUAUCAGCAUUCAUCAGUACUUAUUGGACCAAUAUAUACUAAAUUAGCACAUUUAAUGUCUACUAUAGUCCAAUUUCAAAGCACUGGAAAGAUGCAAAGCUCACAUGGGUUGCCAGGUUGAGAACACUGAACCUACACAAACCUGCACAAGACGAGUUCAAAUGUUGGCAGGGGCAGCAUAUAAUCUCAUUCACAGCUAGUUCAUCAGUUUAUGGAUAUGAAGUAAGUCAAUAUGAAAUCAAAUGUUGGUUUCUAUCGUAUAUUUCUGUCAAGCUGGAUGCAACCAAGGUAGUA
Long non-coding RNA from Astyanax mexicanus (Mexican tetra), 1168 nucleotides. RefSeq lists it as uncharacterized. The transcript has 4 exons. The record is from RefSeq and is a predicted model, not a curated record. NCBI's taxonomy places the organism in Eukaryota, Metazoa, Chordata, Actinopteri, Characiformes, Acestrorhamphidae.